Molecule: ribosomal RNA, 446 nt
Filed under: uncultured bacterium
Lineage: Bacteria
Description: partial 16S ribosomal RNA
Rfam family: Bacterial small subunit ribosomal RNA
Source: RNAcentral
CCUACGGGAGGCAGCAGUCGAGAAUCAUUCACAAUGGGGGAAACCCUGAUGGUGCGACGCCGCGUGGGGGAAUGAAGGUCUUCGGAUUGUAAACCCCUGUCAUGUGGGAGCAAAUUAAAAAGAUCGUACCACAAGAGGCAGAGACGGCUAACUCUGUGCCAGCACCCGCGGUAAUAAAGAGUCCUCAAGCGUUGUUCGGAAUCACGGUGCGUAAAGCGUGCGUAGGCUAUUUCGUAGGUCGUGUGUGAAAGGCGCGGGCUCAACCCGCGGACGGCACAUGAUACUGCGAGACUAGAGUAAGGGAGGGGGAACCGGAAUUCUCGGUGUAGCAGUGAAAUGCGUAGAUAUUGAGAGGAACACUAGUGGCGAAGGCGGGUUCCUGGACAGUAACUGACGCUGAGGCACGAAGGCCAGGGGAGCGAAAGGGAUUAGAUACCCUAGUAGUC